This 59-nucleotide transfer RNA is filed under the name Oxalobacteraceae bacterium IMCC9480. It matches the Rfam family "tRNA", at positions 1 to 57 of the family's 71-position model. From Rfam's summary of the family: Transfer RNA (tRNA) molecules are approximately 80 nucleotides in length. The record is from Rfam by way of RNAcentral. Lineage: Bacteria; Pseudomonadati; Pseudomonadota; Betaproteobacteria; Burkholderiales; Oxalobacteraceae.
GCUGAUGUAGCUCAGUUGGUAGAGCAACUGAUUCGUAAUCAGUAGGUCGGGUGUUCGAU